Gallus gallus (chicken) is the source of this 1157-nucleotide long non-coding RNA. NCBI's taxonomy places the organism in Eukaryota, Metazoa, Chordata, Aves, Galliformes, Phasianidae. The record is from Ensembl.
CAUUUCCUUUCCAUACAGCCACUCAAUUGGGGUUAUGGUGAGAAUAUUCCUCACAAAUCCUGGUUCUAGUGUACUGGCACAACUCCCUGUACGGUCUCAGGGUUCCCUGGUCACUGAGGACUCGUCUAGACUUCAGGUACCCUGUUUAUCCUCUCCAUGCUGUUCCUGCUCUCCUGACUAUCUCUUGACAAGUCACUGCCCUGCAAGCCACCCCCUAAUCAACUUCUGGCUUCCUAUCCUUGCAGAUAUGAUAGAUAUAUCACACCAUUUUGCCAUAAAAUGAAGCACAGGGUUCUUUUGUACAUCAGAAAACUAUUUUUCACUGUGUGGAUUUCACAGCACUGGAACAGUCUGAACAGAGAAGUCGUGGAGUCUCUGCCCUCAUAGGGCAGGUGCUCCAGAUCUCUGAUCAUCUUCACAGCCCUCCUCUGGACCCUCUCCAACAGCUCCACGUCUUUUCAGUACUGGUGGUCCCAGACCUGGAUGCAGUACUCCAAAUGGGGCCUCAAGAGGGCAGAGUAGAGAGGAAUAUCACCUCUCGGUCCCUGCUGUCCACCUCUCUUCUGAUGGAGCUCAGGGUACCAUUGGCCUUCCAAGUUACAAGAGCACACUGCUGGUUCACUUUCAGUUUUUUAUUCACCAGGACCCCCAGGUCCUUCUCCACAGGAUUUUUUCUCAAGGAGUUUUUCUCCUAGUCUGCAUACAUAUCUGGGGUUACUUCAACUCAAGUGCAAAGCCUUGUACUUUGCUGUGUUGAACCUCAUUAGGCUUAUGUUUGCCCACCUUUCAAGUUUGUUGAGGUCCCUCUGGAUGGCUUCGCUUCCUUCUAACAUCUCAACCGCACCACUAAGCUUGGUGCUAUCAGCAAACUUGCUCAGGGUGCACUCAAACCCAUCAUCGAUGUCAUUGAUGAAGAUCUGGAAGAGCACCAGUCCCAAGACAGACCCCUGGGGGACACCGCUUGUCACAAGCCUCCACCUGAACAUAGUGCCAUUCAACACAACCCUCUGACUACAGUCUUCCAAUCAAUUCCUUAUCCACCAAAUAGUCCACCCCUCAAAUCCAUCUCUCUCCAAUUUCGAGAUCAGGAUGUGGUGGGGGACCAUGUCAAAGGCCUUGCACAAGUCCAGGUAAAUGAUAUUGGUCGCCUCCCUUUG